UAGACCGCCUGGGGAGUACGGCCGCAAGGUUAAAACUCAAAUGAAUUGACGGGGGCCCGCACAAGCGGUGGAGCAUGUGGUUUAAUUCGAUGCAACGCGAAGAACCUUACCUGGUCUUGACAUCCACGGAAGAAUUCAGAGAUGGAUUUGUGCCUUCGGGAACCGUGAGACAGGUGCUGCAUGGCUGUCGUCAGCUCGUGUUGUGAAAUGUUGGGUUAAGUCCCGCAACGAGCGCAACCCUUAUCCUUUGUUGCCAGCGGUUAGGCCGGGAACUCAAAGGAGACUGCCAGUGAUAAACUGGAGGAAGGUGGGGAUGACGUCAAGUCAUCAUGGCCCUUACGACCAGGGCUACACACGUGCUACAAUGGCGCAUACAAAGAGAAGCGACCUCGCGAGAGCAAGCGGACCUCAUAAAGUGCGUCGUAGUCCGGAUUGGAGUCUGCAACUCGACUCCAUGAAGUCGGAAUCGCUAGUAAUCGUGGAUCAGAAUGCCACGGUGAAUACGUUCCCGGGCCUUGUACACACCGCCCGUCACACCAUGGGAGUGGGUUGCAAAAGAAGUAGGUAGCUUAACCUUCGGGAGGGCGCUUACCACUUUGUGAUUCAUGACUGGGGUGAAGUCGUAACAAGGUAACCGUAGGGGAACCUGCGGUUGGAUCACCUCCUUACCUGAAAGAA
RNAcentral lists this ribosomal RNA (678 nucleotides) under Salmonella enterica subsp. enterica serovar Give. RNAcentral's name for it is "bacterial SSU rRNA". It matches the Rfam family "Bacterial small subunit ribosomal RNA", at positions 865 to 1533 of the family's 1533-position model. The record is from RNAcentral. Lineage: Bacteria; Pseudomonadati; Pseudomonadota; Gammaproteobacteria; Enterobacterales; Enterobacteriaceae.